GAUGAACGCUGGCGGCGUGCCUAAUACAUGCCAGUCGAGCGAACGGACGAGAAGCUUGCUUUUCUGAUGUUAGAGGCGGACGGGUGAGUAACACGUGGAUAACCUACCUAUAAGACUGGGAUAACUUCGGGAAACCGGAGCUAAUACCGGAUAAUAUUUUGAACCGCAUGGUUCAAAAGUGAAAGACGGUCUUGCUGUCACUUAUAGAUGGAUCCGCGCUGCAUUAGCUAGUUGGUAAGGUAACGGCUUACCAAGGCAACGAUGCAUAGCCGACCUGAGAGGGUGAUCCGCCACACUGGAACUGAGACACGGUCCAGACUCCUACGGGAGGCAGCAGUAGGGAAUCUUCCGCAAUGGGCGAAAGCCUGACGGAGCAACGCCGCGUGAGUGAUGAAGGUCUUCGGAUCGUAAAACUCUGUUAUUAGGGAAGAACAUAUGUGUAAGUAACUGUGCACAUCUUGACGGUACCUAAUCAGAAAGCCACGGCUAACUACGUG
This 497-nucleotide ribosomal RNA is filed under the name uncultured bacterium. RNAcentral describes it as "partial 16S ribosomal RNA". It matches the Rfam family "Bacterial small subunit ribosomal RNA", at positions 28 to 507 of the family's 1533-position model. The record is from RNAcentral.